Molecule: transfer RNA, 78 nt
Filed under: Gammaproteobacteria bacterium
Lineage: Bacteria; Pseudomonadati; Pseudomonadota; Gammaproteobacteria
Description: tRNA-Pro
Rfam family: tRNA
About the family: Transfer RNA (tRNA) molecules are approximately 80 nucleotides in length. Their secondary structure includes four short double-helical elements and three loops (D, anti-codon, and T loops).
Source: RNAcentral
CUGGAAGUAGCUCAGCCUGGUCAGAGUCCUCGGCUUGGAACCGAGAUGCCGCUGGUUCGAAUCCAGCCUUCCAGACCA